GCCAUAGCUCAGUGGUAGAAUACCUGCUUGGCAUGCAGAAGAUCCCAGGUUCCAUCCCCACUAUCUCCA
RNAcentral lists this transfer RNA (69 nucleotides) under Sphaerodactylus townsendi. Its description in RNAcentral is "tRNA-Ala". Lineage: Eukaryota; Metazoa; Chordata; Lepidosauria; Squamata; Sphaerodactylidae. The record is from RNAcentral.